RNAcentral lists this microRNA precursor (280 nucleotides) under Medicago truncatula (barrel medic). Its description in RNAcentral is "MIR2655 microRNA precursor family". It matches the Rfam family "MIR2655 microRNA precursor family". Lineage: Eukaryota; Viridiplantae; Streptophyta; Magnoliopsida; Fabales; Fabaceae. The record is from Rfam by way of RNAcentral.
CCCUUAAUUUAUUUUUUGGUUUUGUUUUGGUCCCUUAACUUAUUUUUUGGUUUCGUUUUGGUCACUUAACUUAUUUUUUGAUUUCGUUUUGGUCCUUAACUCUAAUACAUUCAUCCUAACAUAAAGGACCAAAGUGGUUGACGGAGGAAGAGUUAAGGGACCAAAACGAAACCAAAAAAUAAGUUAAGGGACCAAAACGAAACUUUUAAUAUUUUAGGGACCAAAAUGAAACCAAAAAGUAAGUUAAGGGACCAAAACGAAACUUUUAAUAGUUAAGGGA